Molecule: ribosomal RNA, 290 nt
Filed under: Oxyrrhis marina
Lineage: Eukaryota; Dinophyceae; Oxyrrhinales; Oxyrrhinaceae
Description: partial Bacterial large subunit ribosomal RNA
Rfam family: Bacterial large subunit ribosomal RNA
Source: RNAcentral
GUGAGGGAAAGGCGAAAAGAACCCCUGUGAGGGGAGUGAAAUAGAACCUGAAACCGUGUACGUACAAGCAGUAGGAGCCUACUUGUUAGGUGACUGCGUACCUUUUGUAUAAUGGGUCAGCGACUUAUAUUUUGUAGCGAGGUUAACCGAUUAGGGUAGCCGUAGGGAAACCGAGUCUUAACUGGGCGAAUAGUUGCAAGGUAUAGACCCGAAACCCGGUGAUCUAGCCAUGGGCAGGUUGAAGGUGCGGUAACACGCACUGGAGGACCGAACCCACGUCUGUUGAAAAA